Brachypodium distachyon (stiff brome) is the source of this 125-nucleotide non-coding RNA. NCBI's taxonomy places the organism in Eukaryota, Viridiplantae, Streptophyta, Magnoliopsida, Poales, Poaceae. The record is from Rfam.
UUUGUACUCCCUCCAUCCCAUAUUAAGUUACUCAAAUUUGUCCAAAUAUGUAUGUGUCUAUACCUAAAAAACGUCUAGAUGCAUGUAAUAUUUCGGCACUUAAUAUAGGAUGGAGGGAGUACUAU